AAGUUAUUAAGGGCGCACGGUGGAUGCCUUGGCACUAGAAGCCGAUGAAGGACGUUACUAACGACGAUAUGCUUUGGGGAGCUGUAAGUAAGCUUUGAUCCAGAGAUUUCCGAAUGGGGAAACCCAGCAUGAGUUAUGUCAUGUUAUCGAUAUGUGAAUACAUAGCAUAUCAGAAGGCACACCCGGAGAACUGAAACAUCUUAGUACCCGGAGGAAGAAAAAGAAAAUUCGAUUCCCUUAGUAGCGGCGAGCGAAACGGGAAGAGCCCAAACCAACAAGCUUGCUUGUUGGGGUUGUAGGACACUCUAUACGGAGUUACAAAGGACGACAUUAGACGAAUCAUCUGGAAAGAUGAAUCAAAGAAGGUAAUAAUCCUGUAGUCGAAAAUGUUGUCUCUCUUGAGUGGAUCCUGAGUACGACGGAACACGUGAAAUUCCGUCGGAAUCUGGGAGGACCAUCUCCUAAGGCUAAAUACUCUCUAGUGACCGAUAGUGAACCAGUACCGUGAGGGAAAGGUGAAAAGCACCCCGGAAGGGGAGUGAAAUAGAACCUGAAACCGUGUGCUUACAAGUAGUCAGAGCCCGUUAAUGGGUGAUGGCGUGCCUUUUGUAGAAUGAACCGGCGAGUUACGAUUUGAUGCAAGGUUAAGCAGUAAAUGUGGAGCCGUAGCGAAAGCGAGUCUGAAUAGGGCGUUUAGUAUUUGGUCGUAGACCCGAAACCAGGUGAUCUACCCUUGGUCAGGUUGAAGUUCAGGUAACACUGAAUGGAGGACCGAACCGACUUACGUUGAAAAGUGAGCGGAUGAACUGAGGGUAGCGGAGAAAUUCCAAUCGAACCUGGAGAUAGCUGGUUCUCUCCGAAAUAGCUUUAGGGCUAGCCUCAAGUGAUGAUUAUUGGAGGUAGAGCACUGUUUGGACGAGGGGCCCCUCUCGGGUUACCGAAUUCAGACAAACUCCGAAUGCCAAUUAAUUUAACUUGGGAGUCAGAACAUGGGUGAUAAGGUCCGUGUUCGAAAGGGAAACAGCCCAGACCACCAGCUAAGGUCCCAAAAUAUAUGUUAAGUGGAAAAGGAUGUGGCGUUGCCCAGACAACUAGGAUGUUGGCUUAGAAGCAGCCAUCAUUUAAAGAGUGCGUAAUAGCUCACUAGUCGAGUGACACUGCGCCGAAAAUGUACCGGGGCUAAACAUAUUACCGAAGCUGUGGAUUGUCCUUUGGACAAUGGUAGGAGAGCGUUCUAAGGGCGUUGAAGCAUGAUCGUAAGGACAUGUGGAGCGCUUAGAAGUGAGAAUGCCGGUGUGAGUAGCGAAAGACGGGUGAGAAUCCCGUCCACCGAUUG
This 1336-nucleotide ribosomal RNA is filed under the name Staphylococcus aureus. RNAcentral describes it as "partial 23S ribosomal RNA". It matches the Rfam family "Bacterial large subunit ribosomal RNA", at positions 5 to 1343 of the family's 2925-position model. Lineage: Bacteria; Bacillati; Bacillota; Bacilli; Caryophanales; Staphylococcaceae. The record is from RNAcentral.